GUUGACAUUGAAACGUCACACAGAUACUUUUAAAAAAAUUGUGAUUUCUCCAAUAACGGACAAAUCAGCCCAGCAGGAGCAAACAGCCACAACCCAUCUUACGUCUGACAGAAGGGAAAAACAUUUGACUCUUUUCCAGGAUGAACUUGCUUGGCAUCUCACAGCAGGUAAAGCACUUGUAGGUGAUAUCAUUAAUUGCAGCUGCAGUCCUCUCUUGUAUCUGAUACGUUGCCCAGAUAUUCUCACUGACGCGUCUUGUUGGGAAACCAGAGCAGAACAACGGCAUCGUUUAUCUAAAAAAGCCAGACGACGCAACUGGUGCAACUUCCUGCGUGGUUACAAAGAAGCCACCGAGUUUCUCCCGCGGCUGCAGGCAUUUGAGGCAACGCGGGAGUCAGCUUGAGUUCUCCCGCUUAGGAGUCGAUCCUACACACAGAUAUGUGGCUGACGGAUGAUCCGGGGGGACUGUUUCUGCAGCACGUUGGUGGGUUCAGUCUUCUUGAGAGGACGAUAGCAGGACGCAGGAUGCAGCGGUGACUCUGGAGGACCCAGACAGCCUGAACAACUGCUGCGAGCAGGUGUUUCUCCUCUUCCUGAGCAGCUCGGAACUCUCUACAGAGUAAUUAACAAGAUACAUUUGCGCUGGGGGGGGUGGGGGUUAAGUAUGGAAAUUGUUUUCUUUGGGCGUCACAUUUUUAAUUGCAUUUUAAGAUUCAUGCAAGAUUCCUUUGACGGACGAAAGGUGAGGUCAUGGAUGCAGCGUCUACCAAGAGAGCCGCACUGCUCUGGACUCCUCGUGGUCAUUCAUCGCUCAUGUAUAUUUUGCAUGCAUGAAUAUGUGGAAGCCUAAAUCGAUUAAUAAUUCACUCCAGCUUGAAAAACGUGACAUGGCAUGAAUACAGUUUGUGUGUCAGAAAAAUAACUCCAAUGACCAAUGAUGAAUGAUGAAUGACCACCGGCACGCUAACUGUGUUAAGACCGGCUGCUGCUCCAGUGAUCGAGCCUUCUGAUUGGCUGGGUUCUGUUUGGGCAUUUAGCGGAUGGGUACACUGUGUAACAGCAUUAAUGUCAGCGAUGUUAUUGCUGCUACGCAGAUGUCUGGCCUCUGUGGUAAAGUACAGUUAUCUUGGCCUCAGGACACGGUGCUGUUGUUUAAGGUUUCUCGUUCAUCAGUCCUCGGUUUCCACGUGAAUCAUUUUAUGCUCCACACCUUGAAACUUUUGACCUCCUCCCUUCUCUUUGCCUUUCUUUACUUCAGGGCUCCGCAGUUCAAACACUACACACGCAGAAGGCUGCGAUUCUGAGUAACCGUGAAAUGCUUUAGAUUUGAGUCAGAUAUAAAAACGUGUUUGCCAGGAUGUUUUUUUUUUUCUCUCCGUGUCGGUGGGUGUGUGAGUGUUUGUAGUAUCCAUGAGUGUUUUACAGGGGUUUUGGGGUGGGGUAAUGAUUGGGAGUGGCAGGAUUUGAUGGAAUGGGGGGGAUUAAAGGGUGGGGAGGAAGAAGUGAGGCGAGGUGCAGAACUGGAAAGCCAAAUGGAGCGAGGAUCCCGCCGAUAAUUAACUCGCUCCAACAUGAAACUAUACAAAUGUUUAUGUUUUAUCCUUAAUAACACAAAUUGGCGAUUGAUUGAUGAUUUUCCGUGUGAUGUGUGAGUCGGAGGAGAGUUGUAGGAGUGAUGGUGCUGAGUUUACGUCCCCUCCUUUCUCGUUUGUUGUGUCUAAUGGAAGACAGCAUGUGUCGAUACGACGACUGAUUAGGAAACUAAGGGUUGUGAUCUGUCAGUAAAUGAUUCUACUGGUUUGUAAUGUCAUAAUAA
Long non-coding RNA from Gasterosteus aculeatus aculeatus (three-spined stickleback), 1816 nucleotides. Lineage: Eukaryota; Metazoa; Chordata; Actinopteri; Perciformes; Gasterosteidae. The record is from Ensembl.